CCUACGGGUGGCAGCAGUGGGGAAUUUUGGGCAAUGGACGAAAGUCUGACGCAGCAACGCCGCGUGAAUGAGACGCCCUUCGGGGUGUAAAGUUUUGUCAGUGGGGACGAAAAAUGAUGGUACCCACAGAGGAAGCACCGGCUACCUCCGUGCCGGCAGCCGCGGUAAUACGGAGUGUGCAAGCGUUGUCCGGAAUCAUUGGGCGUAAAGAGUUCGUAGGCGGCAUGGAAAGUCAGUUGUUAAAGGCGAAGGCUCAACCUGUGUAUGGCACUUGAUACGUGCAAGCUGGAAUGCGGUAGAGGUAAAGGGAAUUCCUGGUGUAGCGGUGAAAUGCUUAGAGAUCAGGAGGAACACCGGUGGCGUAAGCGCUUUACUGGGCCGUAAUUGACGCUGAGGAACGAAAGCCAGGGUAGCAAAUGGGAUUAGAUACCCGUGUAGUC
Molecule: ribosomal RNA, 440 nt
Filed under: uncultured bacterium
Lineage: Bacteria
Description: partial 16S ribosomal RNA
Rfam family: Bacterial small subunit ribosomal RNA
Source: RNAcentral